RNAcentral lists this long non-coding RNA (7459 nucleotides) under Homo sapiens (human). Its description in RNAcentral is "non-protein coding lnc-SLC27A5-3:2". The record is from RNAcentral. Lineage: Eukaryota; Metazoa; Chordata; Mammalia; Primates; Hominidae.
GCAUUUGCAGCAGCCUCUGACGCCUGAGAGGCGCUCUGUUCCUCUAGGAGGAGGGUGCGAGGGCCAUCUUUGACCUCUGUUAAGCGCCCUAAGGAGGUACCGACGGUUGUGACCGCAGUCUCUGACGUCUUCAGAUGUCAGUCCUACAAAGUCGGGGGUGGAGGUUUCCCUCCAGGCUGAUCGGACAUGCUCAACCGUUUAUUUACCUUUGAAUUUGGGGAGCAGAACUAGCCAGGGUGACACUAGUUUCUCCCAAUAAGCAGUGUUACAGUUUUCUAAAUCUGUGGGGUCAGUUUUGCUUCCACACUUAAAAGUGGCCGAGCCAUUACUUAGUCAGUCCUAAAUUACACCGCCUGUUUUGGUUUCUUUGGAUACCUGGGAAUCCCUGCUGCCUGCUCUGGAUGAAGAGCAGUGGUCUUGAUCACCGAUUGGAAGCACCGAGCAUGUGCGUGGAUGAGACUUGUCAACUCGGAGCUUUCCAACGGCCUCCUCAGGUUGUUUUUGGGGAUGAGGUGCUUAGGCCUUUUCUCUGGGACUAUGCAGAGUCCCAGAAGGAAAAAAAAACAAAAACUUUCACCCUCCACCAUGUGGGGAGAGCACUGGGGCGUUAAGGGCUUCUUCAGUAGUUGUUCCCCAGGCAGCUUUGAUAUAGGUCUCCCGUCUCUGGGCUGCUGGUUCUCAGCCUUCUGCGGUUCUGGAGUCAGCCUGGUGGGAACUCUCUCCUCUUCGCCAAGUCGCCACGUAGUAUUUUGCCUUCCCUAACUUAGUGACAGCUCUCACCCACUUCUAGCUUAGGAAUGCCAUUGCUCCUGACUCCUCUGUCACCAUCCUCAUACUUGUGGGUUAUGUGUUUUAAAUACUCCCCUCUGUGGUUUCAGUGGAUUUCUGAGCCCAGUGAGAUGCAUGUGUUCAGUCUGACCUUUUGACAUAGAAGCCCAGGGAUACUUUUACAGUCACUACCUAUUCAAAAUUAAGAGCAGAGGGGGAGGUUGGAGGGAGGUCAGCCGAGGGGCCAAGACCUGCAUGGAGGUGGGAGCCUAGGUUGGGGGCCACUGAUCAGUCAUGGGUUUGGGGAGGGGAAGAUUGGAGGAGGGUGGACAAACUGAGGGACAACAGGGGCACAAGCAGACGUGGAAAGGAACUUGAUGGAGGGAGGCGGCUGGUGGGAAGACAAGGUAGGGUACUGAGCCCAGCCUAAGGGGUCAGGCGGGCUCAGGGCAGAAACUUCGCUCAAGAAGCGUCUGUCAGAGGCAUAGAAAUGAUUUCACGUGACUCUCUGGGUAUCUACUUGUUUGACAGAUGCUUUUGCUCCUGACUCCCAUGGGCUCCCCAGAAAAGUGCUCUUUCAGGCAGGGAAGGGUUAUUGUCUGCAUUUCACAGCUCUGCAGACUUACUGGGGGACAAUGGUUCAGGGACCUACUGGGAUUCUGGUGGCCCAAGUCUUGCAGGCUCCAGGGGAGCUAGGUUCUGUGUGUCUCCACUCCCUGCAGGAACCUGUGAGGUUUCACAGGUGGAAGAGUCUGGCCCCAAUAUCAAGUGUGUGGGGCCUGGAUCUGGGCUCUUUGUGUAUAGGGCAGGAUAGCUGCAGGAUUUUGGAAGCCAUGGGAUGGAGUGCCCACUGGUUGGAGUCAACCUUGCAGGGUCAUCACACAUGGCCACACCCUCUAUCUCAGCAGCAGAAGGAACACAGCCCUGCCUUGGUUUCUCCACCUACCAUCCUCCCAUUGCCAGGAUCCACCAGGACUCAUCUAGCAGGGCUGCUGCUCCAGACAGCCCCACUCUAUCCCAGUUCAUCCAGCUCCUGGCUACCCCAACCCACCUCUGACCCUGAAAAGGAUACAGGUAUCCCACUCCCUCCCUGGGCUGCAGACAGGCUGUAUCUCUACUCUGUGGCCUCUUGAGGGUACCCAGGUUGAAGCCAAGUCCAGGAACUUCUGUGAUGAUGACAAACGCUGAUGGCAUGUCAGGGUAUGUUCAAUACCAUCUGCAUUGUAUGAGGGUGAAAUAGGUGUCAGGUUGCUACCGUUCACACAAAUGUUUAAAAAGAAACCUUUAUCAGAGAAGCUCUUGAACUGCUAUUAAGACUGAACCAUGCUCUGGAGUAGGGACAAGAGGCUGUGCUCUGGAGGUCCAAACUGCUGUACAGGAAACUGCAACACCUACUCUGAGUUGCAGAUGGUAGUCUUUUUUUUUUUUUUUCCAUUAAGGAGAACAUGAAUUUCCUUGGAGGUGAGGCUCCAGGUAGGGACAGGGCCUGGUCUGCUGAAGGCCACAGGAAGCAAAUGGCCCCCAGUCCACCUUUCUGUCCCUGCCAUGAAGGGCCAUUACACUGGGGUGGGGAGGUCCUCAGGAGGGUGUCACACAUAGCCUUAGGCAAUAGCAAGUCUUUCCUAUUCAGCUCUGUCCAGCCUCCAAUUGAGGAGGGAUAAUGGGGGUGAGACAGGGUUGGGGGUGAAGUGGCCACCAAACCCGGCAAAAGUGAGCAGCUCCAUCUUGUCUGAAGUUAACAUCAUCCCCUCAGGUAUAAAGCCUCCUCCUCACAUCGACUUUGGUAAACCAGUCAGUGACAGGCCUUGGCCAAGCUGAGACUUGGGCAAAAACCUGAACGAGUGCCACCGGAAAGCCAUCAUCCUAGCUCUGUCCUUCCAAUGCUGAGAGUCACAUGUUCCCCCAUGGGCAUCCCUCUCCUGAGUCGGCUAUGUGUGUGAAGCCAGGCCAGGCCGUGUGCCUCAGUUUCCUCAUCUUCCAAGUCGGGAUACCAGCCACAGAGCCAUCUCACAGGGCUUCAGGAGAAACUUCCCAGUACUCAGGACAGGAGCUGGCAGUGAGCAUGUGUUGGCUCUCAUUAGGACCCCACCUGUCAGCGUCUACAAACAUGAUGUUCAGUGGACCCAAACCUUUUCUCUUUCCCAGAGGUGGCGGCUGACAGAGCCCAGACCCUGAUCCCCAGUCCCUUGUGGUCUCUUGUCUGCUAGGCUGGCCCCUAGGAAGUCUUGGAUGAACAGAGGCAGUGGGUUGAGGGGAGAAUACCCUCAGCGGGCAUCUCUCCAGCGGCCAGUUUGUGUACAGCUGUCAUAAGUUUCUCUGGGCCACCCCCAACCCAUGCCUGCAUCCCUCUCACCUUAGCAUCCACUGUCAUAUCACAUGAAGCCGCACCACAGUGCAGUGCUGUGACUGUCGGCCUCCUACUGGCUCUGAAUAGUCUCGGCCCCACUAGAGUUCAGCCACCACGUCCUCCCCCUGAUGUUGCUGCAGUGCUACCUCUUUGGGGAUGGAGGUGUGAUCUGUGGGUGAACUGGCAAAUCCUGUCCCCACGUGCAAAUGAAAUCACAGCCAAAGGGCCUCCCUUGUCCCUGACUAGCAAGCACGGGACUUUUUCUCUGCUGUGGAUCUGCAGAGGACAUAUGCCCUUUAGCUGUGGAAGGGAUUCACAGAAGGCCAGGGCUGCAACCUGUGACCUCAGACCUCCGCUGGCUGCGAGACGGCGGCUGGGCCCGAGGCGGGAGUGGGCUCGGUUUCCUUCGCUGGCGCACCUUCUGAUGAUGCCCCGGCAACAGACCUGGCCUGGGGGUGCAGGCUGGCCCUGGAUCGCCGGACGGUCUUCUCGCCGGUAUGGAUCCUCUGGUGGUGGAAGAGGGCCGGGCGCUCACGGAAGGCGCGGCCACACUGCGUACACACGAAGGGCUUCUCGCCCGUGUGAAUGCGCCGGUGGCUGAGCAGCACGGCGCCCUUGGCGAAGGCCUUGCCACAGUCCACGCAGCGGAAGGGCCGCUCGCCCGUGUGCAGGAGCUGGUGCUGGGUGAGGUUGGAGCUGUGGCUAAAGGCGCGGCCGCACUGUGGGCAGGCGAAGGGCUUCUCGCCUGUGUGCACGCGCUGGUGCUUAAAGAGCGAGGAGCCCUGGCUGAAGGCAGCACCGCAGAGCGCGCACACGAAGGGCUUCUCGCCUGUGUGCGUACGCUCGUGCUGGAUCAGGUGCGAGUUGCGGCAGAAGCGGCGGCCACACUGUGCGCAAGCAUAAGGACGCCCACCCGCGUGGAUCUUGCGGUGCUGGCUGAGGUUGGAGCCGUGGCUGAAGGCCUUGCCGCACUCGGAGCAGCGGAAGGACUUCUCGGCCGUGUGGAUGCGCUGGUGCCGCACCAGCGAGGAGCUAUGCCGGAAGGCCUUGCCGCACACGGGGCACGCGUAGGGCGUCUCGCCGCUGUGGAUGCGCUGGUGCUGCGUCAAGUGCGACGUCUGGCUGAAGGCCUUGCCGCACUGGGCGCACUCGUAGGGCCGCUCCCCGGUGUGGGUGCGUAGGUGCUUGAGGAGGUCGGAGCUCUUCACGAACACUUUGCUGCACGCCCUGCAUUCGAAGGACUUCUCCCCAGCGUGAAGAGCCUCGCCCAGCUCGUCCCAGGUCGAGGGCUCCUGGCCACCGAGGAGUCUAUGAGGCUCCUGCCAAACUGCACCCAUUCGGUGAUGUCCCCGACCGCCGGCAGCCUCCAGGUCCUGGGCGCUCCCAAAGGUUCUCCCAGGGACCUCCUGUGCACAUGGUUUCUGCCGCUCAGGCGUCCUGGGCUGCCUCCCCAGCAACGCAUGCUCUGUGAGUGUCUUUUCUCUAAGCCGGACGCCCUCGGGAGGCCUAAGCGGGGAGGUCAGUCGCAGGCUGACGCUGGCUUGCCCACUGCCUGAGCCUAGCAGGAGCCUCUCCCAGUAGAUCACCGACACCCCCGUGGGUUUUCUCUCCCGAGAUGGGGAGGCACCCCGUUGUCUCUGCAGGCUUUUUACACUGUGGCAGGCACCGGCAACAGGGAAGACGCUAGUAGUCAUCCCAGGUGGGGUAUCUGGGAAAGCUCGUGGCCAUUCUCCAGAAACAUCUCUAUCCUCUGUCAAACUCCAGGAACCUAAAGGCAGAGAAACAGUGGUUGCCUGGGGCAUCCUGGUUAGGAGAGGACCAGGGCAGGCUGAGUGGACAGGCAAGAAGGAACCCCGGAGCUGGCACAAAAGCUUAGGGGAAAAGUAGAGGUGAGGCUGGCCCUGCAGGAGGGGCUGGGGUUUGGAGGAACAAUCUGCCCUGAUAGGUAUGGCACUGACUACACUGGGCACUCCCAUGAUCAAGGUGGCAGCCCCCCGACACCCAGGAUGUGAAGCUGAGGAAAACUAGCGGCUGCUGUAUGCUGCAUACAUCUCCACACUGGCUAUUCCACCCACACUCUUUCCAUUGCUUACCCCCUUCCCCCCGCCCCUGUCCCCCUUCUCAGGCACCCACUCCCCAACCUGCUCCUGCAAUGACCUCCAUCCAGUGCUCUAGACUAUACUCCUGAAUCCUGCUUACCGACUGCCUCUCCCACCACACCAUGAGCCCCAGAAAAGCAGGACCAGGGUCGUCCUGAUUGAGGCUGUGUCUACAUUGCCUGGACUGGGCCUGACCACUGUGAGCACUCAGGAAAUGUUUGCUGAACACAAAGAUGAAGGGUGAAAAAAAUGACCCAUCAAUUAUGGCAGUGACUAGCCAUGGAGGGUUUGAGGCCAGCCCAGCUGAUAGCAGGACUCUGAGAUGGUCUCACCAUAGCCUGAGUGCCCUUCUGUGUCAACCCCGCUCCUGUGCCCUUGGAGCUCCACCUUCAAGGGCAGCUAAGGCUGCAGCCUCCAGGAGGGGCUGAUGAUGGAAGGGAAGGGAAUCGGGUGGGAGGGAGGGGAGGAGGGUGCUUCUGGGGAGUCUGGGAACCAGGGACAGAGGCAUGACCACAGGUUGGUCCUGAAUUCACCCCACCCUGAGCUCCCUCUCACCAGGGUUGCGCCUCCUGUAGGUGGUCCUGGACAGGGUUGUGUCCGUUCCACUGGGAACCCAGGGCUCCUCGCCACGCUCCAGUUGGAUGACCACACGAGGUCGAGAGGUGGAGAGUCCUGUGAGGAGGAGGUGCAGGUUAGAGUCCAGCCCCAGCUCAAGAUAACCCACCUCCAAACAGAGGGCAGGAGUCAGGGCUUCACGGAAACAGAAAAUGUCAUCUGUGCAACUGCAGAAUCUAAAGAUGGCACAGGGCAAGGGGCUCACAGGAAUAGCUCAUUCAUCCCCAGGGCAGCAACUGUGCCCAGGGCACCAAAGGAAGGGGACUGAGCCAAGGCUCGGAGAGGCCACAGCCGGACAGCGCCACAGGGAGUGGUUGAGCCAACCAGACUGCAUGUCUAUAGGACCAGACCCCUAUUCCACAUGGCUCCUGGCUGCAAGGUAUAGGCCUGCUCGUCAGCCACCAGGGAGGUGAGGGGGCAGCCCUGGCCAGUCAGCUUGUUAUCAGUUGCCCAUUUCAUGGAGUAUCUAGGACCUUACCCAGCGAGGCCACAAGUGCGAAGUUGUCUAGCAUCACGCGGCGGUACAGGGCCCUCUGGGCUGUGUCCAGGAGCCCCCACUCCUCCUGGGAGAAGUACACAGCCACAUCCUCAAAGGCCAUCUGGUCCUAAAAGAGCAGGGAGGAAGAGACAGCCAUGGUCUAAGGCUGGGUUAUCCAAUCUUUUGGCUUCCCUGGGCCACAUUGGAAGAAGAAUUGUCUUGGGCAACACAUAAAAUACAUUAACACUAAUAACAGCUGAUGAGCUAAAAAAAAUAAAAAUUGCAUAAACAUCUCAUGUUUUAAGAAAGUUCACGAACUUGUUUUGGGCUGCAUUCAAAGCCAUCCUGGGCAGUGGGUUGGACAAGCUUAGUUUAAGGUAUGGCUGUGAGCCAGGACCAAGCUCCCCAUCCCAACAGCCACCUUCCAUGAUGUCCCUCAGACACUCACCCUCCUUCCCUGGGUUCUGCCCCCACCAUCUUCAGAUGGCACUUCCCUCACAUGUCUGGGACCCCUCCCCUCUGCCCUCCCUGACCAGACCCCAGAUGCCUUCUUGGCCUCCCCACUGGCAACGCCAUACACAAGCAAGCUAGAACAAGUCCUGGCUGGGCCCUCAGCUGCCACACCAAGAGCAGCCCCAGGUGUCCACUCGUGACUCAGCAUGACCACUCAUGACCCUCCCCAGAUGCACCCUUCCUGCUCUUGUAGCAAGAAACUGUGAGUCCCAGCAGGGGCUUCCCAGGCAUACCCAUCACUGGGACCCUCCCCUGCUGAGCCUGCUUGCCUGACAUUUCCAGGCUGCUCAUCCAGCCUGAGGGACUGGAUGAUUCUCACCAGUCGCCACAGGGGAGCAGCCUCAACAACCUGUGAACACAGAGGAACUCAAUCCCUUCCUCCUUUCACCCGGUGUCCCCUUUCUUCCCCUCUCUGUUGCCACCCUCCCCUCCUCAGUUAGGUGCUAGGCUCUUCCCAAUAGCCCCAGGCAUCCCAGCUGGUCUUCUUUACCCUCAAGCCAUAACUGCCCACACCUGGCUGAGUCCCUGCCCAUUCCUCAGUCCAAUUCAUAGGCCCUGUCCACAGCCCAGGACGCCAACAACGUCAGGUCCAGUGACAUGACCAACCUGGGACAUCCCAGACUCUUGAUCUUUCCCCUG